UNCAAUUGCUUGAUGCGGUGGUCCUUCUA
RNAcentral lists this non-coding RNA (29 nucleotides) under Mus musculus (house mouse). Lineage: Eukaryota; Metazoa; Chordata; Mammalia; Rodentia; Muridae. The record is from RNAcentral.